Molecule: ribosomal RNA, 468 nt
Filed under: uncultured bacterium
Lineage: Bacteria
Description: partial 16S ribosomal RNA
Rfam family: Bacterial small subunit ribosomal RNA
Source: RNAcentral
GAUGAACGCUGGCGGCGUGCUUAACACAUGCAAGUCGAACGGUGAAGGCGGAUCUUUCUCUGCUGUAUCAGUGGCGAACGGGUGUGUAACACGUGAGCAAUCUGCCCCUUACUCUGGGAUAAACCCUGGAAACGCCGUUUAAUACUGCAUACGAGCUCCUAAGGCAUCUUCAUCAGCUUUAAAGAAUUUCGUUCAGUGAUGUGGUCGCGGCCCAUCAGCUUGUUGGUGAGGUGAUGGCUCACCAAGGCGUCGACGGGUAGCCGGCCUGGGAGGGUGACCGGCCACAAUGGGACUGGGGAGGCGGCCGGACGCAAACGGGGGGCAGCAGUGAAAGAUAUUGCACGAUGGGCGGAAGCAUGGUGGAGCAGCGCCGGGUGAGGGAAGACGGCCUGUGGGUUGUAACCCUCUUUUGGCAGGGAAGAAGAGAAAGUGACGGUAACUGCAGAAAAAGCGACGGCUAACUACGUG